AGUCAAUCGAGUCACUCACUGCUCCAAUCCGACAGUAUCCGGUCGCAUCAAGCAAAUAGAACUUUUUAACUAUGAAAAGCACAUCACUACCUUUGGUUUUCUUGGCCGUGUUGCUUGCGGUUAGUCUGCCAGGAUCGACUGCGGUUCCUGUAGGAACUUGUCCGUCAGUUGAUGGACCGAAUCCAGUUUACUUGACAGACUCUGUUAGAUGCGAUGUGUUUUAUGAAUGCAGCAACGGAUAUGCGAAUGAAAAGAUUUGCCCAAACAACCCUUACGCAAAUCCGCCCGCAAAUUUGCACUGGAACAAAGCCUUGAGCGUCUGUGAUUUUCCACAAAAUGCUAAUUGCUCUCUAUAAU
Molecule: long non-coding RNA, 357 nt
Organism: Daphnia pulex (common water flea)
Lineage: Eukaryota; Metazoa; Arthropoda; Branchiopoda; Diplostraca; Daphniidae
Exons: 3
Source: RefSeq, a predicted model, not a curated record